UACACAAUGACCUGAAGUAUAUGUGUGCUCAUUCAAAGAAAGGGUUUCCUAUGAAUUAAUUAGAGAAUAUUCCUUCCAUUGUG
Long non-coding RNA from Sinocyclocheilus rhinocerous, 83 nucleotides. RefSeq lists it as uncharacterized. Lineage: Eukaryota; Metazoa; Chordata; Actinopteri; Cypriniformes; Cyprinidae. The transcript is spliced from 3 exons. The record is from RefSeq and is a predicted model, not a curated record.